UUACUUAUACUAAAGUUAUUGUGCGAAAACCAAGAAAAAUGCUUAUUUGGGCCCUUUUUGGAUCCUAAGUCCUAAACUGUUGGGACCAAAACUACCAAAAUCAAUCCCAACCUUCCUUUUAUAGUCAUAAACCUUGUGUUUAAAUUUCAUGGAUUUCUAUUUACUUAUACUAAAGUUAUAGUGCGAAAACCAAAUGUCUUCGGACGACGACGACGA
RNAcentral lists this long non-coding RNA (216 nucleotides) under Mytilus galloprovincialis (Mediterranean mussel). Lineage: Eukaryota; Metazoa; Mollusca; Bivalvia; Mytilida; Mytilidae. The record is from RNAcentral.